AAGACUACACUUGCAGAAAUCAUUUCUACAGUUCCUUAUCUGAGAAGUUUCUCUGAAUGUUCUGGGAACCACAAGAAGACAGGAUUCUCUCCUGGAAGCUCUCGGUGCCGCUCUGACUGCAACUGUCAUUUGCUGUUGAUGAUUGGUUGUUUUUCUCUUCUUUUAUGAGAGUUAUAAUAAAAGAAAAUAGGUAGGUAGUUUCUGU
Molecule: small nucleolar RNA, 205 nt
Filed under: Cavia porcellus (domestic guinea pig)
Lineage: Eukaryota; Metazoa; Chordata; Mammalia; Rodentia; Caviidae
Description: Small nucleolar RNA U3
Rfam family: Small nucleolar RNA U3
About the family: Small nucleolar RNAs (snoRNAs) are involved in the processing and modification of rRNA in the nucleolus. There are two main classes of snoRNAs: the box C/D class, and the box H/ACA class.
Source: Rfam by way of RNAcentral